RNAcentral lists this long non-coding RNA (232 nucleotides) under Elaeis guineensis (African oil palm). RNAcentral's name for it is "long non-coding RNA (EGUI_LNC015006)". The record is from RNAcentral. Lineage: Eukaryota; Viridiplantae; Streptophyta; Magnoliopsida; Arecales; Arecaceae.
UUCCCUCGCCAUCCUCAAGCCAGCGAGGAGCGCUUCGUACUCGGCUUGGUUAUUGGAGGCUUUGAAGUCGAAUCGGAGGGCGUACUCGGUGACCACCCCAUCCGAGUUGGUGAGCAGGAACCCAGCCCCGCUCUCCUGAGCGUUUGAAGCUCCGUCGAUGUGCAGUACCCAGGUGGAGACCGGGUCUAGCUCGGGGACCGCAUCUCCUCCCGGGUCCGCAGCUCCUGACCCU